RNAcentral lists this ribosomal RNA (373 nucleotides) under uncultured organism. RNAcentral describes it as "partial 16S ribosomal RNA". It matches the Rfam family "Bacterial small subunit ribosomal RNA", at positions 527 to 896 of the family's 1533-position model. The record is from RNAcentral.
GUAGGUGGCAAGCGUUGUCCGGAAUUAUUGGGCGUAAAGCGCGCGCAGGCGGUCCUUUAAGUCUGAUGUGAAAGCCCACGGCUCAACCGUGGAGGGUCAUUGGAAACUGGGGGACUUGAGUACAGAAGAGGAAAGCGGAAUUCCAAGUGUAGCGGUGAAAUGCGUAGAGAUUUGGAGGAACACCAGUGCCGAAGGCGGCUUUCUGGUCUGUAACUGACGCUGAGGCGCGAAAGCGUGGGGAGCAAACAGGGAUUAGAUACCCUGGUAGUCCACGCCGUAAACGAUGAGUGCUAAGUGUUAGGGGGUUUCCCGCCCCUUAGUGCUGCAGCUAACGCAUUAAGCACUCCGCCUGGGGAGUACGGCCGCAAGGCUG